This 2006-nucleotide ribosomal RNA is filed under the name Didymium phloiogenum. Its description in RNAcentral is "SSU rRNA". It matches the Rfam family "Eukaryotic small subunit ribosomal RNA". Lineage: Eukaryota; Evosea; Eumycetozoa; Physariida; Didymiaceae. The record is from RNAcentral.
UCGACAACCUGGUUGAUCCUGCCAGUAGUGUAUGCUUCUCCUAAAGAUUAAGCCAUGCAUGCCUUCGAAUAAGGGUAAGCUAUUCUCUCUGAAUCUGCGAACGGCUCCGCACACCAGUUGUAAACCAAAGCAAGCAUGCCCGUUCUUCUGUCCUUCACGGGGCAGGGGGGCGGGUCGAUGGAUACCCCCGGUAAUUCUAAGGCUAAUACACGAGCGUAGAGCCCCGCCAACUGGCCCUCGGGCUGGGAGGCGGGGGGACGUGCCCGUUAGGUUGCAGGAGGACCGGGAGUGGGGGUGCGUCAGGACCGCGAUCAAAAAGAUGGGCCGGCUUCUUUGCCUCACGGCAUCGUUGGCCCCUCUAGCGGCACUUGCUACGUGCUUCUGACCUAUCAACUUGAUGGCAGCCUAAAGGACAUGCCAUGGUGACAACGGGUACAGAGGAUUAGGGUUCGAUCCUGGAGAGUGGGCCUGAGAGAUUGCUCAUACUUCUAAGGAAGGCAGCAGGCGCGCAACGUUCCCACUGGUCAACGACCGAGGGCGUUAGGGGACAUAUGAAUGCCCGCCCUAUGGGUGGACAAUUCAAAUGGAUCUGUUUUAAACAGACUCUUGAGUAACAAUUAGAGGACAAGUCUGGUGCCAGCACCCGCGGUAAUUCCAGCUCUAAUAGCAUACGUUAAAGUUGUUGCGGUUAAAACGCUCGUAGUCGGCUCAAGAUCAUCAGAAGCCCUAUGCGGGGGCCCGGGCCUGUACCCCUUCGGGGGUGCGCCGGGCUUCUGCUGCAGGUGGGCGGUGAUCAAGUGCCCCCUUCACCGUAUCCUCCCUUCGGGGGGGACGCACAGAGCCUUCCCUGGCCCUACCCUUCACGGGGCGGGGCUGGGGGGGGCUCGGAGGGGGGGGCCACUUACCAUGAUCAAACUGGAGUGCUCAAAGCAGGCCGCAAGGCCUCUGCACAGACUAGCAUGGCAUAACUUUUGCCCUCUGGCGCGCCCUGCAGGAGCGUCGGGGGGUAGGAGCGAUAGGGGUGUUCGAGGGUGACCGAAUUGUCGGGCGAGCGGUGAAAUGCGUUGACCCUGGCAAGUCGUCCAAAGGCGAAAGCAGUCAUCAAGGGCAUUCCCAUUGAUCAAGAGCGAAAGUUAAGGGUUCGAAUACGAUCAGAUACCGUAGUAGUCUUAACUAUAAAUGAUACUGACCAGGGAUAGGACAGUGUCCUUCUCGACUCCUCCCGGACCUUAGAGAAAUCAAAGUCUUUGAGUUCCGGGGGGAGUAUGGUCGCAAGGCUGAAACUUAAAGGAAUUGACGGAAAGGCACACAAAGAGUGGAACCUGCGGCUUAAUUUGACUCAACACGGGAAAACUCACCAGGUCCUGAUACGCGUAUGAAAGACAAGCUGAGAGACUUUUCUCAAUGACGUAAGUGGUGGUGCAUGGUCGUUCUUAGUUCGUGGAAUGGUUUGUCUGGUUUAUUCCGAUAACGAGCGAGACCCCAGUGUCCUUAAUAGGAGUGCCAGCCCGGCUCGACCGCCCUUCGGGGCGGACCUGCCAGCAGGCGUCUCACUAGCUUCUUAGGCAUAUCAGAGCCGAUAAGGUUCUUGAAAUGGGUUAAUAACAGGUCAGUCAUGCCCUUAGAUGUUCUGGGCCGCACGCGCGUUACAAUGGUAGCCAUCAGAAAGUGCCUAUAUAGGGUUGCCCCGCGGCCGACGGGUCGCGGUAAUCCCUAAUCGUUCCCUUGACUGGGACAGACUCUUGCAAUUAUUGGUCUCGAACGAGGAAUUUUUAGUAUACGCCGGUCAUUAACCGGCGCGGAAUGCGUCCCUGCCUUUUGUACACACCGCCCGUCGCUGCUACCGAUUGGGUUUCACAGUUACGAGUUCAGAGGACGGGGCCGACUGCCUUCAUUGGUGACUGGCCCUGACCAAAGUCCUAAUUACUGUGCGGCCUAGAGGAAGCAGAAGUCGUAACAAGGUAAUCGUAGGUGAACCUGCAGAAGGAUCAAGCUUGGAUCCCGGG